CGCCAUCUUUGAUUUUGAGAUUCCAGCUCUCAGAUCCAUGUUAUUUGUGCAGUUGAAGCCAGAUUCGCGAUUUCAUUACUGCAUAUAUUACCAUAGUCUCAAUCUCUAUCAAGUGAUUGUGCAAAAUCAUCUCAAGCCGGAUUGUUUUCGCUGUAUUUACUCGUGUUUGCAUUUGCAACCCGACGAAGGGACCCGAUACACGUGAGGCUCGAGAUUAGAAUUAUCUACUGCCUUCUUUAGACACAGUUUACUUCAAGACGUAAUUUAAUGUGCUUUGGACACUCAUGAAUGGACUUGAGAUUUGUACUCGACCAAGAGAGGCAAACAACCCAAAAUAAGUGGAUUUUUGGGCUUACAAGGUAGCGGUGCCUCAGACGUUGGAAUCUUCAAUCGCUCACACAAAUUAAUAAAGCUCCGUGAAGAAGCAUUUUGUGAUCCUUGGAGUUGGUUGGUUGUAACAUCUGAUGUGCUGCUUGAAUUGAUCGAGUCUCGUGAGAGGACCUUCAAAAAAUAUAAAUCAUAAUACAAACUUUAGCGAUAAAAUAAUACAAUUUACUAUUGUACAAACCUUCAGGUCAUUUCCCAUCUUAUUGCAAAAUGGACUAGCUGACCUCUUUUUUUACAUCCCAUCUUGUUACAAAAGGGACUAGCUGACCUCUUUUUUUACAUCCCAUCUUGUUACAAAAGGGACUAGCUGACCUCUUUUUUUACAUCCCAUCUUAUUGCAAAAGGGACUAGCUGACCUCUUUUUUUACAUCCCAUCUUGUUGCAAAAGGGACUAGCUGACCUCUUUUUUUACAUCCCAUCUUGUUGCAAAAGGGACUAGCUGACCUCUUUUUUUACAUCCCAUCUUGUUGCAAAAGGGACUAGCUGACCUCUUUUUUACAGGGGCGGAUGUAGGGGUGGCAGAGCGGGCCCCGCCUCUAUUUUUAGAUAUUUGGCUUACAAUAAAUAGGGGUUAUUUGCCGGUUGGGAGAUCUGUAUCAUGAAAUACCGUGACCGAGGUCUUGCAAAUAUUGACUGAGCCUGAAGGCCGAGACAAUAUUUUUUUUCUAGCGCCAGCGAAAACAUACUUUGAGCGAGAAGCGUGCGCAAAAUAUCAAUUCUCGGACCCCAGGCUGAUAUAGGAAUCUCCGGACCGUUCUAUUAGCCAAUCAGAUAUAAAUAACAAGAAAUAUAAGGAAAUCCACGGAAAAAAAAUAAGUCCCCCCUUUCUUGAAACUUUUGCUUCAGCCCCCACCCACCCUUUGAUGCACCUCUGUUUUAUGUGUGGAGACUGACCUCUUUUUUAAGCGUGGAAAGAAGGUCAGCAUCCGUAGGCAAUUCGGCCCACGUUCGUGCGAGACCAUCGUAUCGUUUCUUGACCUGAAAAUAAACAACCGUUUACUACAUUCCCAUAUUUAAUGAAAAUGGGACCAAAAAGAUUAAAUGUCAGUUUGUUUAGAUUCAAAUUGUUUACAUACCUUGGGGAAGCGUAUGUACGUUGGUCUUAUUAUGAACAUCUUGAUACCAAAAAAUAGUGCUGCAAAUAUCACAAUGUUCACAGCCAUGAAAUAACAAUUUAAAAAACAACUUGAUAAAUCCCUGACACUCGUCAAUUCAGAGCCAUAGCAUUCCACUCAAGAUUGGAGGGGGGGGGGCACAAUUCAGAAACAUUAGGAAUAUAUUGGGGAGGGCACAGCCACGCCUCUUGUCAUUUCCUUAUAUCUUUUUUGAAAAUAUUGGGUUGGGGGGGGGGGAUUACGGCUCUGCAAUUUAAGCAGUAAUUUAUUUGGUGUUAUUAACUAGCUGGGGGAACACGGAAUACGCGAUAAACUUACCAAUGAACAUGAAAAGCGUUGUCCCUUGCAAGAAGACUGAACCUAUGAAUGCCAGACAGAGGCAGGUGAAAAGUGUCUUGGUCGCAGAGUGCUGCCAUGUCAACAGACU
Molecule: long non-coding RNA, 1929 nt
Organism: Nematostella vectensis (starlet sea anemone)
Lineage: Eukaryota; Metazoa; Cnidaria; Anthozoa; Actiniaria; Edwardsiidae
Exons: 2
Source: RefSeq, a predicted model, not a curated record